UACGUAGGUGGCAAGCGUUGUUCGGAAUUAUUGGGCGUAAAGGGCGCGUAGGCGGUUUGCUAAGUCAGUUGUGAAAGCCCGGGGCUCAACCCCGGAGGGUCGGCUGAUACUGGUGGACUAGAGUACGGAAGAGGUAGCUGGAAUUCCCGGUGUAGCGGUGAAAUGCGUAGAUAUUCGCAAGAACACCAGUGGCGAAGGCGGCUCACUGGCCCGAUACUGACGCUGAGGCACGAAAGCGUGGGGAGCAAACAGG
RNAcentral lists this ribosomal RNA (253 nucleotides) under uncultured bacterium. Its description in RNAcentral is "partial 16S ribosomal RNA". It matches the Rfam family "Bacterial small subunit ribosomal RNA", at positions 524 to 776 of the family's 1533-position model. The record is from RNAcentral.